GCCGGGUGUGGUGGCGCGCGCCUGUAGGUCCAGCUACUCGGGAGGCUGAGGCUGGAGGCUUGCUUGAGUUCAGGAGUUCUGGGCUGUAGUGCGCUAUGCCGAUUGGGUGUCCUCACUAAGUUUGGCAUCAAUAUGGUGUCCUCCUGGGAGCAGGGGACCACCAGGUUGCUUAAGGAGGGGUGAACCGGCCCAGGUCAGAGAUGGAGCAGGUCAAAGCUCCCGUGCUGAUCAGUAGUGGGAUCGCGCCUGUGAAUAGCCACUGCACUCCAGCCUGGGCAACAUAGCGAGACCCCGUCUCUU
This 300-nucleotide signal recognition particle RNA is filed under the name Rhinolophus ferrumequinum (greater horseshoe bat). RNAcentral describes it as "Metazoan signal recognition particle RNA (ENSRFEG00010000785.1)". It matches the Rfam family "Metazoan signal recognition particle RNA". Rfam says of the family: The signal recognition particle (SRP) is a universally conserved ribonucleoprotein. The record is from Rfam by way of RNAcentral. Lineage: Eukaryota; Metazoa; Chordata; Mammalia; Chiroptera; Rhinolophidae.